This 58-nucleotide small RNA is filed under the name Gordonia amarae NBRC 15530. RNAcentral describes it as "F6 TB sRNA". It matches the Rfam family "F6 TB sRNA". Lineage: Bacteria; Bacillati; Actinomycetota; Actinomycetes; Mycobacteriales; Gordoniaceae. The record is from Rfam by way of RNAcentral.
UGGGUAGCCCCGAUCAGCUGCCAGACCCCCGACCCGGCAGAUUGAUCGGGGCUCCUUA